GGUAGUGCUGAUGUUUCUGGUGUGGUGGUGAUGGUGGAGAUAGCACCGAUGGUGGAGGAUGAUGGUGAUGAUGUUUCUGGUAAUGGUGAUGUCUGUGGUAUGGUAAACUGGGGGUGGUAAAGAUGGAUGAUGGUGGGGUGAUGUUGGUGGGAAUAAUGGUGGCGGUGAGGGUGAUAUGUGUAGGGGUAAAGUUAGACCUCUGAUCUAGCUCUCUGUCACACCAUGCACUGCCACACAAUUUCAUACAGUUCCAGGCUGGGUGUCUUCUAGUAAAACUAAAGCCUCUAAAGCAACUUGCAUGGAUGUGUAGCUAACACUGCUCCUAAGAAACAAGCUAAAGCAGUGUGAGAAGUGACCACCAGAUGACAGUAAAGAAGUACAGAAGAGCCCAGCUGUACCUCUGGGAUUGAACCCUGGUCUCCAAGCAGCAAGUCCCUCCUGCUGGGACUGUGUCUCUGCAGGACGCUCAGGCUGUGGGAACUCCAGGACAUUCGAGGGUCACAGUGUGCCAAGCAUUUCCUGACUGCAACUUACUAACAGACCCUGGGCUGGAACCGCCAGGCUGAGUCUCUCGAAUUCCUGACACUGUGAUGAUAAGUGUGUGUUGUUAUGACCUGCUAACCGUGGAGAUGAUUUGUUACUCCUAGCAUAUGGCAAACAGUCAAUGGUGUUUGCUGUAAUUGUUAAUUAGGUGACUAUUAAACGCAGAGAAGUUA
This is a long non-coding RNA of Chinchilla lanigera (long-tailed chinchilla), 716 nucleotides long. RefSeq lists it as uncharacterized. The transcript has 2 exons. NCBI's taxonomy places the organism in Eukaryota, Metazoa, Chordata, Mammalia, Rodentia, Chinchillidae. The record is from RefSeq and is a predicted model, not a curated record.